Long non-coding RNA from Astatotilapia calliptera (eastern happy), 2120 nucleotides. NCBI's taxonomy places the organism in Eukaryota, Metazoa, Chordata, Actinopteri, Cichliformes, Cichlidae. The record is from Ensembl.
UAUUUAAGAAAAAAAAAACUUUAUUUGUGACGUAUUAACAAAACACAUUACCAGAUUGAUUAAAUCAUAAGAAUCACUAUGAUCACCUUUACAAUGAUGAGCAGGUGUACAAAAAAGUUAUUAACAGAUCUGCACUGUCACAGUCGACUGGUAUGUGCCACUCACCGCCACACCCAACGACUGAGGAACAUUCACUAUACACAAGCAGAGAAUACAUCAACUUUAUUUUUUUUUAUUUCAUUUUUUUGUAUUUUGAUAUUUUUUUUCUUAUUUUUCUGCCUUUUUCUCUACUGGGCAAGGGAAAGGUACAGAGGGUGAGCAAAGUAUAUAAUUUCACAAUAGUGUCUUUUUGAUCAUCAUUUCAAAGUUGAACACAAGUUAGUUUAAGGACUGAUUUUCUUAUCCAUGAAAAUCAUAUGGGUAAAAACAGAAAGAAAAAAAGGCAUUUCAUAGCAUAACACAAUAGCAUUAUGUAUAUCUAGAAGAUUAAAUUUAUUUUCAACAUGAUAAGAAAAUGUGUUUCUUUUAGGUUUUUCCACAAAUUGCUGCUGCCAUGUCUGUAUUUACUGUAUGUUUGUGUCUGUAUGGAGAGGUGUGUGUAUUGUCUUUGAGAAUGUGUAUCAGAGGUAUAUGUAAAUAUUCCAAUACGCAUUUCCCAGUGGAAAAACAUAUCUAUGUAUAUAUAUAUAUAGUAUCUAUAUAGGAUCUGUUUCCUUUGCUUAUAACAUGCAAACAGCCACUUGGUGAUCUGACAGCACAGAAGUACACCUGAAGAACAGGGCAGGUGAGGAGGGAAUAGUGUGCAUGGGAAGGACUGAGCAGCACCUAUAUACCCCUAUAGUGAUCGGUAAUAUGGUGGUCUAAUAAAAGGAACAGCGAGGUGAGAUUUUAUGACACUUUCAAUCAUGUUGACGCUGCUCCCAUUUCUACCACACUAUGUUUAUACACAAUAUCAGUGCCAAAACUUCCCAGCAAACUUUUUCCCCCCAUAUUCAUGUGGAGCCAUAAAGCAAAAAAAGGGAAAUUUUAAGGUGAUGCCAGGUGAAGCCAAUGAACUUUUGUCACCUUUCAGUCACAAUUUUUAUUAUAAUAGUAAUUAUCAUAAUUUGAAUGCAGCCUCCAGCCUCUUUGUACUGCAGCUGAACUGUACUUCCCAGUCAGUGUUAACUGCAAUACAUGUGCUUGUGCAAAGGAGAAAUGACUUGCCCAAUAGUUUCUUUGUCUCCUACACUGUAUCUACACAAUGGACUACUAUGACUACUAUUUUCUGACUCUCACUCCAUCUUGCCUCAUAUCUAGCACAGCAUAAUCUCAGUUUCUGCUAAGCUCUCAGGCGUCUUCGCAAUUCAGUGCAUACAAGUCAUGCGAGAGAUGACAGAGCUGUCAACAAUGAGCAACCAGAGGAGACAUUCUGGCAGAAACGCCUAAACUCAGCUGAAGUUGAGACAAAAAAAAUGUCUAUGAGAGUGUGACAUGUGUCUAUAUGUCUAUGUGUCUGUAUCUGUGUAAAUAUGCAAAUACACACAUGUUACUGUUGUACAGUUCAUUGAAGCAAAGUGGAAAGAUGUCCAACCAUGUUGAUUUGAGGAAACAGGAGUAGAGCGAGGAAACAGGCGGCGGGCAAGCACAUCCUACAAGCACUGAAGCAGGCGAGGCAGUGGCGCAAGGCUUAAAGAACAACUAUUUAACAUUCAAAGACAGAAGAGGACGGAUCGGAACAGAAAUGAAGCGACAAGCAGCGUUCCUGCUUCCUAGCCAUAUAAUACACUCCCAUGUUAAGGGUGGCAUUGGCCUUCAGUUUUUGGAGUUUCCACAAAGGGCUGCGUAUUCUUUUCGUGUAUUUUGAAUUUAUGUGUUCAUGUGUGCGUAUGUUUGAUUUGUUGGAUUGUGUGUAAGCGGCGGAGAGAAAAUCAGUGUUUGUGUACAGUAAUGUGUCUUUCAGACUGGGUGUGCUAAUUCAGACCCCAUUAACCUGUGUCACAUUCCAAGAGAAGAAGCCAUGUCAGGGGCUGGUUGCAUCAGCUGCACGUAGGUUCCCUAGUUAUGGCCGAAGUCGCCACAAUCCCAUUUCAGGCAUUGCUAAAAUUACAAGCGGUACCACUACAGAAAUCUGUCCAAAC